This 228-nucleotide ribosomal RNA is filed under the name uncultured bacterium. RNAcentral's name for it is "partial 16S ribosomal RNA". It matches the Rfam family "Bacterial small subunit ribosomal RNA", at positions 111 to 334 of the family's 1533-position model. The record is from RNAcentral.
UAACGGCGUGGAAGGAACCUGCCUAAAGGAGGGGGACAACAGUUGGAAACGACUGCUAAUACCGCAUAAGCCCACAGCUCGGCAUCGAGCAGAGGGAAAAGGAGUGAUCCGCUUUGAGAUGGCCUCGCGUCCGAUUAGCUAGUUGGUGAGGUAAUGGCCCACCAAGGCGACGAUCGGUAGCCGGACUGAGAGGUUGAACGGCCACAUUGGGACUGAGACACGGCCCAG